Molecule: long non-coding RNA, 774 nt
Filed under: Hordeum vulgare
Lineage: Eukaryota; Viridiplantae; Streptophyta; Magnoliopsida; Poales; Poaceae
Description: long non-coding RNA (HVUL_LNC002337)
Source: RNAcentral
ACUUUGUAUUGAGUAUCAUGGUAAAAUCAUUUAAAAUCUCCACAAAGAUAGUAAAAUUCAGAGGAAUCCUACAACUAUGGCACAAAACUAGAAGUAAAACAUGAUGCAUUUUUGGAAUCAUUAACUACAUAGGUUUAGGAUUAAUAUACCACUUCAAAAAAAGUUGAUGGUGGUAGCAGUAAAGGUGAUGGAGUUGAUAGUGGUGGCCUCGAAGGCAUUGCAACAUCGUUGGAAGAUAGACAAAUAAUGGCAUUAAAUUAGGAUGUACUCAUAAAGGAUCAAGUUUGUUGACUACAUGUCUUUGUGCUAUAUUCAACACAUGCGUUCUUAGUUGAGACAAUUGACAACAUAUGUAUGUUUAGAUAAAACUAAAUGCAAANNNNNNNNNNCAACUACAUAGGUUUAGGAUUAAUAUACCACUUCAAAAAAGGAUAUGGUGGUAGCAGUAAAGGUGAUGGAGUUGAUGGUGGUGCCCUCGAAUGCAUUGCAACAUCGUUGGAAGAGAGACAAGUAAUAGUAUUAAAUUAGGAUGUACUCAUAAAUGAUCAAGUUUGUUGACUACAUGCCUUUGUGCUAUAUUCAAUACUUGCGUUCUUAAUUGAGACAAUUGACAACAUAUGUAUGUUUAGAUAAAACUAAAUGCAAANNNNNNNNNNGGAUAAGGGGUGAACUAGACAUUUAUGGUUCAACGCUUGUGUUCCAUAUAAGGGCACUUCUUCUCCUCAUAUAUCCCACUAACCCACAGUUACCCAAUAAUACCAGCAAAUAUCUACC